This 567-nucleotide ribosomal RNA is filed under the name uncultured Bacillus sp. Its description in RNAcentral is "bacterial SSU rRNA". It matches the Rfam family "Bacterial small subunit ribosomal RNA", at positions 31 to 575 of the family's 1533-position model. The record is from RNAcentral. Lineage: Bacteria; Bacillati; Bacillota; Bacilli; Caryophanales; Bacillaceae.
UAACGCUGGCGGCGUGCUAAUGCAUUAAGUCGGGCGAACUUGCGGGAGCUUGCUCCCAAAAGUUAGCGGCGGACGGGUGAGUACACGUGGGCAACCUGCCUAUAAGACUGGGAUAACUUCGGGAAACCGGAGCUAAUACCGGAUAAUUCUUUUCUACUCAUGUAGGAAAGCUAAAAGACGGUUUACGCUGUCACUUAUAGAUGGGCCCGCGGCGCAUUAGCUAGUUGGUGAGGUAACGGCUCACCAAGGCCACGAUGCGUAGCCGACCUGAGAGGGUGAUCGGCCACACUGGGACUGAGACACGGCCCAGACUCCUACGGGAGGCAGCAGUGGGGAAUCUUCCGCAAUGGACGAAAGUCUGACGGAGCAACGCCGCGUGAGCGAAGAAGGCCUUCGGGUCGUAAAGCUCUGUUGUCAGGGAAGAACAAGUACCGAUCGAAUAGGGCGGUACCUUGAACGGUACCUGACCAAGAGAGACACAGGCUAAACUAACGUGGCAGGAAGACGAGGGUAAUACGUAAGUGGAAAGCGUGGUCCGGAAUUAUAGGGGCGUAAAGCAGGCGCAAC